GGCGACAUGAUGUAGUGGUUAUCAUGCCUUCUUCACAUAUUGAAAUGUGGAUACGGAGGCUGUCGUGAGUUCGAUCCUCACUGUUGUCA
Molecule: non-coding RNA, 89 nt
Organism: Naganishia onofrii
Lineage: Eukaryota; Fungi; Basidiomycota; Tremellomycetes; Filobasidiales; Filobasidiaceae
Source: the annotation of a GenBank genome assembly